UGGGGACAAGCUAUUAAGCAUUUCAUUUACACUGAAAAGAUACUUGAAAUUUAUUCAAGGUCCUUAA
Molecule: transfer RNA, 67 nt
Filed under: Chthamalus challengeri
Lineage: Eukaryota; Metazoa; Arthropoda; Thecostraca; Balanomorpha; Chthamalidae
Description: tRNA-Val
Source: RNAcentral